Gossypium arboreum is the source of this 107-nucleotide small nucleolar RNA. It matches the Rfam family "Plant small nucleolar RNA R71". From Rfam's summary of the family: R71 is a member of the C/D box family of snoRNAs containing the C (UGAUGA) and D (CUGA) box motifs. Lineage: Eukaryota; Viridiplantae; Streptophyta; Magnoliopsida; Malvales; Malvaceae. The record is from Rfam.
AUUUCGUGAUGAGGGCACUUUCGUAAUAACUCUUUCAAUCUUUCCCAUGCCUCAUACAAGGACUCAUCAUCCACUUGUUGGAAAGCAAUAAUCUCAUUUCUCAGCUU